Long non-coding RNA from Mugil cephalus (flathead mullet), 1021 nucleotides. RefSeq lists it as uncharacterized. The record is from RefSeq and is a predicted model, not a curated record. The transcript is spliced from 2 exons. Lineage: Eukaryota; Metazoa; Chordata; Actinopteri; Mugiliformes; Mugilidae.
GAGUGAUGGAGACUUAGGAGGAGGAGGAUGGAGGUGAAGCCAGGACCAGGCUGGAUCAGUGUGGACCCUCUCUGGUCUGCAGCCUGGGUCCAGUCUGGGUCCAGUCUGGGUCCAGUCUGGGUCCAUUCUCCUCCUACACACAGUCCAACAUCGUCCCGGCUCAGAGGAAGAGAGUCCACACUGGCCGCCACACGACCAGCGAUGAGCUCUUUGCAAAGCUUCAGCUGUCCGUGCGUCUCCAGGUUAAUAACGGACGGCGAAGACGGACCCAGGACUGUAGCUAUGUGGACAGAGACAGACGCUGAACAUUUAUCCGGACUGAGCCGUGUUUAAAGUGACUUUACACGUACAGUGAUGUCUGAAACAUCCCACGCACUGUGAACAUGUCGCGUCCUCAUCACAGACCAGCUGGUUUGAAACGCUUCGUCUUUGACUCCUCCGUGUCAGGGACAAACACUCUCAGGAGGACAGGGGACACUAACAGGGCUGAUUUAACACUGACACUGGAUGUAGAAGAUCACUCUCUUAGGAAAUCAACAGAUUCUGGCUCCUUGUUUCUUUGUUUCUGUUGUUUCUGUCAGACACAGAUCUGCUGCAUGAUGUCCACUGAUUUAAAAACGCUCCGUUCUGUUCUGCUUUACUUUGGCCAUGAAGUAUUUGUCCUCUCAGCAAUAAUAAACCACACUCAAGCAGAAACACAGAAGAGAGACGAGGACCUGGGUCUGAGGCUGGACCAGGGUCUGGAGGGUUUUCUCUCUACGUGUGCAGAGUAAUGAUGACUGGACGAGUUCAGGCCCUAAACAGGAAUCUACUCUGUUUCUAUUUAAACCACAUCAGGCAACUCAGCCCCAGUUUUAUAGGUAAAAACAGAGUUUACAUCACUGCUUAGAUUCAGAUUAAACUCACGUUCCAGGCAUGAUGAAGAGCCAUCACCAUCAUCACCAUCAUCAUCAUCACCUGCUCUAAUAUAAGCUAACAGAGUUUUAUUUUCCAGUGUUGAAUAAACUUUGAAUGAACGCUG